AGCCCAGCACCGAAGCCUGUGGUCAUUUGGCCACCAGGCAAUGUGGUGUUUAGGUCUUUUCGCAGAGGCACUGCUCUACCCUAAGUCCAAUAAUGAGUACGGUGGUACAGACAUGGCCCAAUGAGGGUGAAAGGCCCGUGGGGGUAGAGGUCAGAUUGGACAGUGUCAACUCUGGGAGGACCUUGGAGUCGGAUUGUUUGUGAAUGCAGUCCAAAGUGGGUGGUAAACUCCAUCUAAGGCUAAAUACGAACGCGAGUCCGAUAGCGAACAAGUACCGUGAGGGAAAGUUGAAAAGUACUCUGAAGAGAGAGUAAACAGUGCGUGAAGCCGCUCAGAGGUAAACGGGUGGAGUUGAACUGUGGUUCCCGAGGGUUCAGCUGGUGAUUGUGAUUGGGCUUGGCCAAAAAUGUUGAGCUCUGGGGUCUGUUUAGCUACAGGUCUUUGCCUUCGGGUGAGGAUGCGCGGCACGCUCGUUGAGCGUUGUGCGCCCCAGGUGUUCCGGGCUGAGUUGCCAGUGCAUUCCCUCGGGACGGUCACCACGACCGGCACUGCUGUCUGUCUAUUGUGGUUAAACCGGUUGUGUAUUGUCCUUCGGGCUUUGCAUAGUCGGGACGGCAGGUAGCUCGUUAGUUUGCUUGCAGGCUUACGGGUGUAAUCAGCUGACUAUGAUUUGACUGUGCGGUGUGUCGGGGACGGCGGCUUGAGGUGCGUGCGUGCGUGCCUGUUCUGCUGGCGUGUCCAUGUCAGGUUGCUCAGUUGCUCACGUAGUGGGCCAAGCGGCGACUGGGACGCGUUCGGUGGGCGGUUGCGUGCGUUGCACUAUUCUUGGGCCAAUAGUCUGUGGUGUUGCGGUAGACUAUCCACCCGACCCGUCUUGAAACACGGACCAAGGAGAGUAACAUGUGCGCGAGUCAUUGGGCGUAACGAAACCCACAGGCGCAGUGAAAGUAAAGGCUUGGCUUGUCCAGGCUAAGGUGAGAUCCUGUCGUUUCCUACGCGUGGUACUACCAAGCAUCGAGCGGCAGGCGCAUCACCGGCCCGUCCCAUGGCAUUGGCCGUUUGAUACACAGUACAGUCGGGGCGGAGCAAGAGCGUACAUGUUGAGACCCGAAAGAUGGUGAACUAUGCUUGUGCAGAUUGAAGCCAGAGGAAACUCUGGUGGAGGAUCGCAGCGGUUCUGACGU
Molecule: ribosomal RNA, 1184 nt
Filed under: Macvicaria magellanica
Lineage: Eukaryota; Metazoa; Platyhelminthes; Trematoda; Plagiorchiida; Opecoelidae
Description: eukaryotic LSU rRNA
Rfam family: Eukaryotic large subunit ribosomal RNA
Source: RNAcentral